Molecule: transfer RNA, 73 nt
Filed under: Propionibacteriaceae bacterium
Lineage: Bacteria; Bacillati; Actinomycetota; Actinomycetes; Propionibacteriales; Propionibacteriaceae
Description: tRNA-Lys
Rfam family: tRNA
About the family: Transfer RNA (tRNA) molecules are approximately 80 nucleotides in length. Their secondary structure includes four short double-helical elements and three loops (D, anti-codon, and T loops).
Source: RNAcentral
GCCCCUAUAGCUCAGUCGGUAGAGCAGCAGACUUUUAAUCUGUGGGUCGCGGGUUCGAACCCCGCUGGGGGCA